AUGACAAUAAAAGAAUAUGACUUUAAGGACAUUACUUCAGUUAUAGUGCACCAACAUCUCUUACACAUUAGCACUAAGGGAACACUGAAUGACCUGAUGGUUUUUGUCCAUAAAACUACUCGUCUAAGAUUACCACAAAGUAAAAGAUCUCUCAGCAAAAUUAUGCAACCUUUUAGGCACUAUUGCCCCGAUCAAGUCAGUGAGCUGGGACUUUUUAUUCUAAACAUGAACUACUGUUACAGCAACACACAUGGACUACUGGUGCCCCACACAACAACUCAAUGUCCACUAUGUGAAGGAGUCUAUACUACUGUUUAUACUAUACUGUCUAUACUAUACUGUCCUGGUGGACAUGGCAACACUUUUUUCAUGGUUACAUACAGUUUUAGACUGAUGUGGGCCAAAGCCUAGCACAUACCUGCCAACCUUGAGACCUCAGAAUUAGGGAGACAUUCAAAGGGUUUUUUUUGUUUGUUUGUUUUUUUUUUUACAGUGUUUACUUAUCGGAAAAAAAUAAGUUAAAUGUCACCGGCCUGUUCCGGGGGUGUCCAAAUUCAGAGGCUGCGUCCAACUGAGGACCCGGCCUUUGCAGGCUAAGUGGGCCGGGUCCUCCGAAAGCCGGGUAGACCGGAAAUGAGCGACCGUGAAAUUCGGGGGUCUAGCCUUCAUAAUUACGUCACCUCUGCCGUCUGCUCCUUGCUGUCUAAAUAAAAUAAAAUAUAACCGGACGCUUGCGUAGAUUCUCGACCAUCUCACACUUCUGUUUAAUCAGUUUUCUGUUUGACAUUUAUUCAGCUGUGUGAAAACCCCAGAGGAACCCUCCCGAGGGAUUAAUAAAGUUUUAUUUAAUCUAAUCUAAUAACUUUAUUCUCAGCCAAACCGAUUUACUCAUGAACAAAUAAAACACUGAAAAAGGCCAAACAAUAACAUGUUUAAGUUAUUUGAAGUUUACACAGCUACAUUCUCGCCUGAAAACAUGUUAAAAGUUUAUUUCGCGACCCAGAAAGAGUAAUGAGAGUAAUAUUAAUACUAAGUAGCUGCAGUAGCAGCUAUUGUUGGAAACUGGAAUUGGCUGGGCCAAUCUAGGAUAUGGUUUUUCAAUUUUGUUGUGGAAAAUCGGGAGAAAUUGGGGAGAAUGGUGGCUUCGGGAGCUUUUCGGGAGGGGCACUGAAAUUCGGGAUUCUCCUGGAAAAAUCGGGAGGGUUGGCAUGUAUGGCCUGGUAUUGCCUGUAACGUUAUUAUGACGGACGCAUUUUAUGAGUGAACUUGACUUUAAGUGACUUACAGGUUUAUUUGAAAAAUACUUUCUUAUAUGCACGUUCUUCCUCUUUGCUACCGUCCUGUCCUCCUCUCAGCGCAGGUUUGCCGCUGCUAAAACUAAACAGAGCUCCCUGAAAGGCACAGCCAAUCACAUUGGCCAUAUUUGUCACAUGAGGUAGGACUCCAGUAGAGAACGUAAUUUAACUCUUUCUGCACCGCUGGGUGACUGAGACGCUGACAGAUCGAUUUUUUCUUUCUAUCGGGUUUGUAUUUCUUUACUCGCAGAGAUCAAAUUAUUGGUGGGGACAAUUCAAUAAUCGCUGGAUAUUGGUGGGGACAUGUCCCCUCCGUCCAUGCCAAAUCGACGCCCUUGCCAACAGAGCUGUAAUUCUCCUAAUGUCCACAAACAGCUGAAGAGGGUUCUGGUCGUACUAUGUAUUACAGUUACCUGCCACAGCCCCGUGCUCCUCAUCACUCUUUCUGAUACAUAACACUGCUGCAGAGUUCAGGAGACUCCUGAAGAUGUAGCUAAAGUCUGCAAUGUAGAGGCUGAAGAGGAAGCGGAGAGAAGAAGACCCCAGUCAACUCCAAGUCAGGGUCGGCAGGCGAACUGGUCCAGGAUGAGGCUCUGCAGGGUCUUCAUGAUGUGUGAUAUUGUGUUUGGGCUGAUGCUGAAAAUCUGGGCCGAUUCCUGUUUUUUAAAAAGACAGUUUGUCAGAGACAAAUAUCAACUCUAUUUUAGAAGCAGCUCAUUGCACAGUCUGUUUAGAGAGAGUUUAACUCAGGACAUUUUGUUACAGCUAUAAUUUACAGAUUUUUCCUGAAUGACUCACACAGGCAGUUGCAAAGAGACUAUUUUGAAAAGCAGACAGCUAAAAAGAUACACUGUUUGUGAGAGAGAGAGAGAGAGAGAGAGUGAGCGGGCUUGUUUUUGUGGCUGUGCAGCACAGGGAGUGUGUUGCAGCUUUCUUGAGAAUCAUUCCUUCGUGAAAUUAAAUAGAAACUUGUUCUGUCAUCUUUGUGAGAGCCAGUUUAAGUCUUAGACCGUGAGAGAGAUUACAUAUUGUAAACUGACAGCUUUUUGUCCAGCUCUCGUUUUUCCACAUCCAUUCAAACAUCUGUUUGAGGGUUAACGCUUCAUUUUAGGGUUAUAUUUGAGGUUGGGAUAAGGCUCUGGAAGCUAAAUGAGAUGGUGAAACCUUGAGUUGAGAGGCAGUCAAACAAGCCCAGCUGUAUUUUUACAUGAGUCCUUCCUUCUACAAACAGAGUGGAGCAGGCUGGACUGAUGGUAGGAGAAACACUUGUAACAGAGAACAAAUUCAGGAUAAAAUGCUGAAAACACUGUUCUGGAAACCCUUCUGGGCACAUUUCAUGAUGAAUAUACCGAGGGACAAAAAGGCAGUGUAUUUUGAAAACAGCUUUUUCAUUUGUCUAACUGAAUUUGAAUCUGUUUUCAGUGAACAUACAGUCACCUUUUCUGCUGGAUCAUGUACAUGCACUUUUUUUUUUCACUGAAACCAUGUUACAAUGGGAUCUUUCAUGGCAGGAGGAUGGAGGGGAUUAUGGCCCUUGUAGUUUACUGUACAUGCAGGCUUGUGAUUAUUUAAGUGUGUCUGAUUACGUUUACAUCAGCUUGUACUAAAAGAACGAUUUAUGUGUUCUACGUUGUUAAAAGUGUAGACCACAUAAAAUUAAUGAAAUGAAAUGAUGGUACAAUUGUACUGUAAGAACAGUGAAGUAUGGGACUAAUUCUGUUGGUAGCAGGAGACACUGUUGUAAAGAAGUUGGUGGAAACACAGCAAGAUUUUCUGUUGUUGUUGUUCCCACGGUGACAGAAAUGUCCAUUGUAGACAUCAGGUUGUUAAGUUUGCAGUAGUUGAGGAUUAUUCAGCCUCCAAGCGACUUGUGUGUCAUCUACAGUUUCCCGAGUUUCCCCGGUGGAGUUUUACUUCCUCAUGUUGCUGAUUGAAAUAAUGAGUCAAGCUUUUGAUCUUCCUGGUGGUUUCUAUCUGUUUAGAAUACUCUCUCAUCAGAGAUGGCACAUCGUGUUUCCCGUCUCGGCAAUAUUUUUUUCACAUCUGCAGCACACUGUGAAAAAUCACAAGGUGAAUUUACAUAAGACUGAAGGCUUUCAGAUAAUUUGCAUGCUAAGCAAAACAGAGGCUCAUACAGCAACAGCUGUUUGACAUUACGCUGAUGUUGCACUGUAGUUGUAAACAAAAUGUCAAACUAACGUUCAGCUUUGCCUUAAAAUUUAGAUAAAUAUUAUUCUUUUUCCAGGCUCGUCUACACUGGAUAGAAACAUAAGGCACCAGUCUUCUAUUAAUGAUUCAGGCAAAAGUGGGAAGAUGAACAAUGAUCUCUUAAGCAGCAGAGAUGAUGUCAGACUGUAUAUAAAAGAUGGACACCAUAAUGUCACCUGCUGGUUUGUGGAGUCCUGUUUUAAAGCACUGAGUGAGAAUUUGUCUUAGUUUUCCUUUUAAUGUGUCCAAAUGUGGUCUGACCACAUUUACAAACGAAUGUAACGUUAUCAGCCGAGUCAGCAAGGUCAGUUACCGAGGUGCAUCGUAGACUGUGUGGGCGCAUAUAGUUGCCAAUUAGUCCUAACAUGCUAAUAAAUGCUAGAAUUUUACGAGCACAGGCGCCUUUUCAAGUAUUUCAAUCAAAAUGCUGUAAAAUGUAGCAAACAUGCCCCUGAAAAUGCAAACUUACAGCUUCAAUAAUAUGUAACCAGGUUAUGAAAUACAAAUUGCCACCAAUUAAGCGUAUAUUCAAGGAUAUGUUUCUGGGUGAGGGAUUUUUGGCUAAAAAAACAAACAAUAUAAAAUGUGUGUGUGGUUAUUUUUCAUUAACAAUCCAAGACGUGCUGCGGAGGUAGUGCGAUUUAAAAACCCAGGAAGCAUUAGGAAGCAUACCAGAUUUUCU
Long non-coding RNA from Oreochromis niloticus (Nile tilapia), 4185 nucleotides. The record is from Ensembl. Lineage: Eukaryota; Metazoa; Chordata; Actinopteri; Cichliformes; Cichlidae.